RNAcentral lists this long non-coding RNA (871 nucleotides) under Felis catus (domestic cat). Its description in RNAcentral is "lncRNA (ENSFCAG00000046071.2)". Lineage: Eukaryota; Metazoa; Chordata; Mammalia; Carnivora; Felidae. The record is from RNAcentral.
AUUUAACUGUUUUUUUAUUGUAUAUUACACAUCAAUAGCAACAUAAGUUCAAGAGGUUUUUUUCUUCUUUCCUUUUUUCUUACAGAACCUGAGAAAAUGGACAGCACUGUUGGGGGCUUGUGAGUUCCUGUCACAGUACUGAGCUUGAACAAUUUCGAUUAAAGCCCCAUGUUUGAGACUGUCAUUAGACCUGCAUUAAAUUACAUAUCUGGAGUGUUAAAAAAUAAAGAGUACAGUAGCUUUUUCUCAGCUACCUAAGGUGAGUGAAGCUGCAAGUUGAGGCCCUGUCCACAUAUAAAUACUGGAAGAGCUGAAAUCCAGGGAGACUGCUGAAAAAAAAAUUGACAACAACCACAAAAGACUUUAUUUUUUAUUGCACGAGGCCCACAUAUGACUUUGAAUAUUUUUUAGUCUGUUGUUUGGUGACGCCUAAGAAGAGUCCUGCUGCCAAUGUUCCUCACCUUGCCUCCCGUGGAAAGGGAAUGAUGUGCACAGACUCUUGUUAUGCAAAGGGAAAAAACAAGGGACAAUACGUUGCUGCUGAUGCAGGUGAUGAUGAUACAACCCAGCAGAAGAAGAUGAACUUCUUCCUGAAGAUGGAGCGACUACUCCUGGUCCGUGAUAAAGGAACCCCUGUUUGGGGCUGCCAUGUCUCUCCCAAACUUUUGUUAUCAGUGGAGCUUAGAACGUAGACCAUCUGUCACAGAGGUAAGUGUUUCUUGAAUUAAUAUCCAUAAUUCCAUUACUGGUCUCUCUGCUCACCUUAUUGCCCUUCUAUAGUCUAUUCUAUACAUAAUACCAAAACGAUCUUUUAAACCUGAAUUCAGAUCAUUUGACUAUGCCUAAUAAACUUUCUAGUGGUUUGUUAUCA